AGGGUUUGAUCCUGGCUCAGAACGUACGCUGGCGGCACGCCUAAUACAUGCAAGUCGAACGAAGUAGCAAUACUUAGUGGCAGACGGGUGAGUAACAUGUAGGUAUCUUCCCAUUGGUGAGGAAUAACACGAGGAAACUUGUGCUAAUACCUCAUAAGUCUUUACGGAGAAAGCUUUAUGCGCCGAUGGAUGAGCCUGCACUUGAUUAGUUUGUUGGUAGGGUAAUGGCCUACCAAGACAAUGAUCAAUAGCUGAUUUGAGAGGAUGAUCAGCCACAUUGGGACUGAGACACGGCCCAAACUCCUACGGGAGGCAGCAGUAGGGAAUCUUGCACAAUGGGGGAAACCCUGAUGCAGCGAUGCCGCGUGAGUGAAGAAGGCCUUUGGGUUGUAAAGCUCUUUCGUCGGGGAAGAAAAUGACUGUACCCGAAUAAGAAGGUCCGGCUAACUUCGUGCCAGCAGCCGCGGUAAUACGAAGGGACCUAGCGUAGUUCGGAAUUACUGGGCUUAAAGAGUUCGUAGGUGGUUAAAAAAGUUGGUGGUGAAAUCCCAGAGCUUAACUCUGGAACUGCCAUCAAAACUUUUUAGCUAGAGUAUGAUAGAGGAAAGCAGAAUUUCUAGUGUAGAGGUGAAAUUCGUAGAUAUUAGAAAGAAUACCAAUUGCGAAGGCAGCUUUCUGGAUCAUUACUGACACUGAGGAACGAAAGCAUGGGUAGCGAAGAGGAUUAGAUACCCUCGUAGUCCAUGCCGUAAACGAUGUGUGUUAGACGUUGGAAAUUUAUUUUCUGUGUCGCAGCGAAAGCAAUAAACACACCGCCUGGGGAGUACGACCGCAAGGUUAAAACUCAAAUGAAUUGACGGGGACCCGCACAAGUAGUGGAGCAUGUGGUUUAAUUCGAAGAUACGCGCAGAACCUUACCAACACUUGACAUGUUCGUCGCGACUUUAAGAGAUUAAAGUUUUCGGUUCGGCCGGACGAAACACAGGUGCUGCAUGGCUGUCGUCAGCUCGUGUCGUGAGAUGUUGGGUUAAGUCCCGCAACGAGCGCAACCCUCACUUUUAGUUGCCAUCAUUAAGUUGGGCACUCUGAAAGAACUGCCAGUGAUAAGCUGGAGGAAGGUGGGGAUGACGUCAAGUCCUCAUGGCCCUUACGUGUUGGGCUACACACGUGCUACAAUGGCAUUUACAAUAGGAAGCAAAACGGCGACGUUAAGCAAAUCCUAAAAAAAUGCCUCAGUUCGGAUUGUACUCUGCAACUCGAGUACAUGAAGCUGGAAUUACUAGUAAUCGCGGAUCAGCGCGCCGCGGUGAAUACGUUCCCGGGUCUUGUACACACCGCCCGUCACACCAUGGGAGUUGGUUCUACCUUAAGGCAAAGUUUAAUACCUUUGACCACGGUAUAGUCAGCGACUGGGGUGAAGUCAUAACAAGGUAGCCGUA
RNAcentral lists this ribosomal RNA (1439 nucleotides) under uncultured bacterium. RNAcentral's name for it is "bacterial SSU rRNA". It matches the Rfam family "Bacterial small subunit ribosomal RNA". The record is from RNAcentral.